UGGGGAAUAUUGCGCAAUGGGGGGAACCCUGACGCAGCCAUGNCGCGUGAAUGAAGAAGGCCUUCGGGUUGUAAAGUUCUUUCGGUAUUGAGGAAGGUUGAUGUGUUAAUAGCACAUCAAAUUGACGUUAAAUACAGAAGAAGCACCGGCUAACUCCGUGCCAGCAGCCGCGGUAAUUANGAGAGGGUGCGAGCGUUAAUCGGAAUAACUGGGCGUAAAGGGCACGCAGGCGGUUAUUUAAGUGAGGUGUGAAAGCCCCGGGCUUAACCUGGGAAUUGCAUUUCAGACUGGGUAACUAGAGUACUUUAGGGAGGGGUAGAAAUUCCCCGGGUAGGCGGUGAAAUGCGUAGAGAUGUGGAGGAAUACCGAAGGCGAAGGCAGCCCCUUGGGAAUGUACUGACGCUCAUGUGCGAAAGCGUGGGGAGCAAACAGGAUUAGAUACCCUGGUAGUCCACGCUGUAAACGCUGUCGAUUUGGGGGUUGGGGUUUAACUCUGGCGCCCGUAGCUNACGUGAUAAAUCGACCGCCUGGGGAGUACGGCCGCAAGNUU
Molecule: ribosomal RNA, 550 nt
Filed under: uncultured bacterium
Lineage: Bacteria
Description: bacterial SSU rRNA
Rfam family: Bacterial small subunit ribosomal RNA
Source: RNAcentral